RNAcentral lists this ribosomal RNA (429 nucleotides) under Gemmatimonadota bacterium. RNAcentral describes it as "Gemmatimonadetes bacterium partial 16S ribosomal RNA". It matches the Rfam family "Bacterial small subunit ribosomal RNA", at positions 355 to 776 of the family's 1533-position model. The record is from RNAcentral. Lineage: Bacteria; Pseudomonadati; Gemmatimonadota.
UAGGGAAUCUUCGGCAAUGGACGAAAGUCUGACCGAGCAACGCCGCGUGAGUGAAGAAGGUUUUCGGAUCGUAAAACUCUGUUGUUAGAGAAGAACAAGGACGUUAGUAACUGAACGUCCCCUGACGGUAUCUAACCAGAAAGCCACGGCUAACUACGUGCCAGCAGCCGCGGUAAUACGUAGGUGGCAAGCGUUGUCCGGAUUUAUUGGGCGUAAAGCGAGCGCAGGCGGUUUCUUAAGUCUGAUGUGAAAGCCCCCGGCUCAACCGGGGAGGGUCAUUGGAAACUGGGAGACUUGAGUGCAGAAGAGGAAAGUGGAAUUCCAUGUGUAGCGGUGAAAUGCGUAGAUAUAUGGAGGAUCACCAGUGGCGAAGGCGGCUCUCUGGUCUGUAACUGACGCUGAGGCUCGAAAGCGUGGGGAGCAAACAGG